RNAcentral lists this ribosomal RNA (842 nucleotides) under Cibicidoides variabilis. Its description in RNAcentral is "SSU rRNA". It matches the Rfam family "Eukaryotic small subunit ribosomal RNA", at positions 1160 to 1663 of the family's 1831-position model. Lineage: Eukaryota; Foraminifera; Rotaliida; Anomalinidae. The record is from RNAcentral.
AAGGGCACCACAAGAACGCGUGGAGCAUGUGGCUUAAUUUGACUCAACGCGGGAAAUCUUACCGGGUCCGGACACACUGAGGAUUGACAGGCAAUAUUAAUACGUGUUCGCACGUAUUAUGUUAAAUAUGCUAGUCCUUUCAUGAUUAUGUGAUAGGUGGUGCAUGGCCGUUCUUAGUUCGUGGAGUGAUCUGUCUGCUUAAUUGCGUUUCACUAAGGGCCUAUAAAUUUACGUGUGUUGCGGCACUUUGACCCCUUUCUUCGGAAAGCGCGUGUCUUAGUUUGCUUUGCUCACACAAUUAGGUCCUGAAAGCAACGAACGUGACCGCAACCUCUUGUUGCCUUUAUACCAAACAUGUUUGACAUUUUUAUGGCAUUCAUGAAAAAAGGCUUUUUAAACUAGAGGGACCGCUGUUACUUUCUUAAACCAGAGGAAGGUUGCGGCAAUAACAGGUCUGUGAUGCCCUUAGAUGUUCCGGGCUGCACACGUGCUACAAUGAUUAUUGCAGUGAGCAUCUCAUUUUUACACACCGCAUGCGCGAGUCCAUUUAUUCACUUCGGUGCUUUAAAUGUGUAUUUCUGCGCGCGGUAAAGCCUGCUUCGAAAGUAAGUGGGUAAUCAAUUAGAAGUAAUGAUUUCCUUUUUAGCACACAUAUAUACGGCGUCUAUACCCGGGUUACCUUGUUGUAACUUUUGUGUGUAUAGAUGUUUUUUCCGUAUGUGCGAUUGUCAAUUCAUGGUGGGGACAGACCAUUGUUAAUUGUUGGUCUCGGUCUUAACUAGGAAUGCCUUGUACGGGUCUUUGGUUCAACAAACCACCCGGAAUACGUCCCUGCCCUUUGU